GACGAACGCUGGCGGCGUGCUUAACACAUGCAAGUCGAACGGGAAGAAAAGAAAGAGCUUGCUCUUUCUUGGAUUCUAGUGGCAAACGGGUGAGUAACACGUAAACAACCUGCCUUCAGGAUGGGGACAACAGACGGAAACGACUGCUAAUACCGAAUACCUUCCAAUUUCCGCAUGGAGAUAGGAAGAAAGGGUGGCCUCUACUUGUAAGCUAUCGCCUGAAGAGGGGUUUGCGUCUGAUUAGCUAGUUGGUGAGGUAACGGCCCACCAAGGCGACGAUCAGUAGCCGGUCUGAGAGGAUGAACGGCCACACUGGAACUGAGACACGGUCCAG
This 334-nucleotide ribosomal RNA is filed under the name uncultured bacterium. RNAcentral describes it as "bacterial SSU rRNA". It matches the Rfam family "Bacterial small subunit ribosomal RNA", at positions 28 to 334 of the family's 1533-position model. The record is from RNAcentral.